RNAcentral lists this ribosomal RNA (762 nucleotides) under Microbacterium aurantiacum. RNAcentral describes it as "partial 16S ribosomal RNA". It matches the Rfam family "Bacterial small subunit ribosomal RNA", at positions 31 to 806 of the family's 1533-position model. Lineage: Bacteria; Bacillati; Actinomycetota; Actinomycetes; Micrococcales; Microbacteriaceae. The record is from RNAcentral.
GAACGCUGGCGGCGUGCUUAACACAUGCAAGUCGAACGGUGAAGCCAAGCUUGCUUGGUGGAUCAGUGGCGAACGGGUGAGUAACACGUGAGCAACCUGCCCUGGACUCUGGGAUAAGCGCUGGAAACGGUGUCUAAUACUGGAUAUGAGCUCUCAUCGCAUGGUGGGGGUUGGAAAGAUUUUUCGGUCUGGGAUGGGCUCGCGGCCUAUCAGCUUGUUGGUGAGGUAAUGGCUCACCAAGGCGUCGACGGGUAGCCGGCCUGAGAGGGUGACCGGCCACACUGGGACUGAGACACGGCCCAGACUCCUACGGGAGGCAGCAGUGGGGAAUAUUGCACAAUGGGCGGAAGCCUGAUGCAGCAACGCCGCGUGAGGGAUGACGGCCUUCGGGUUGUAAACCUCUUUUAGCAGGGAAGAAGCGAGAGUGACGGUACCUGCAGAAAAAGCGCCGGCUAACUACGUGCCAGCAGCCGCGGUAAUACGUAGGGCGCAAGCGUUAUCCGGAAUUAUUGGGCGUAAAGAGCUCGUAGGCGGUUUGUCGCGUCUGCUGUGAAAUCCCGAGGCUCAACCUCGGGCCUGCAGUGGGUACGGGCAGACUAGAGUGCGGUAGGGGAGAUUGGAAUUCCUGGUGUAGCGGUGGAAUGCGCAGAUAUCAGGAGGAACACCGAUGGCGAAGGCAGAUCUCUGGGCCGUAACUGACGCUGAGGAGCGAAAGGGUGGGGAGCAAACAGGCUUAGAUACCCUGGUAGUCCACCCCGUAAA